GACGAACGCUGGCGGCGUGCCUAACACAUGCAAGUCGAACGGAGAUACGAUUUCGGUUGUAUCUUAGUGGCGAACGGGUGAGUAACGCGUGAACAACCUGACUCUAAGAGGGGGAUAACACUCGGAAACGGGUGCUAAUACCGCAUAAGACCACGACCCGGCAUCGGGAUGAGGUCAAAGGAGCAAUCCGCUGAGAGAGGGGUUCGCGUCCCAUUAGAUAGAUGGCGGGGUAACGGCCCACCAUGUCAACGAUGGGUAGCCGAGCUGAGAGGCUGAUCGGCCACACUGGAACUGAGACACGGUCCAGACUCCUACGGGAGGCAGCAGUGGGGAAUAUUGGGCAAUGGGCGCAAGCCUGACCCAGCAACGCCGCGUGAGGGAAGAAGGCUUUCGGGUUGUAAACCUCUGUCCUUGGUGACGAAACAAAUGACGGUAGCCAAGGAGGAAGCCCCGGCUAACUACGUGCCAGCAGCCGCGGUAAGAGUGUGUGUA
RNAcentral lists this ribosomal RNA (492 nucleotides) under uncultured bacterium. RNAcentral's name for it is "bacterial SSU rRNA". It matches the Rfam family "Bacterial small subunit ribosomal RNA", at positions 28 to 533 of the family's 1533-position model. The record is from RNAcentral.